GUGCUCGCUUCGGCAGCACAUAUACUAAAAUUGGAACGAUACAGAGAAGAUUAGCAUGGCUCCUGCACAAGGAUGACACGUAAAAAAAAAUAAAAAUAAAACGUUAGA
Small nuclear RNA from Suricata suricatta (meerkat), 108 nucleotides. NCBI's taxonomy places the organism in Eukaryota, Metazoa, Chordata, Mammalia, Carnivora, Herpestidae. The record is from Ensembl.